This 76-nucleotide transfer RNA is filed under the name Patescibacteria group bacterium. RNAcentral describes it as "tRNA-Arg". It matches the Rfam family "tRNA". Rfam says of the family: Transfer RNA (tRNA) molecules are approximately 80 nucleotides in length. Their secondary structure includes four short double-helical elements and three loops (D, anti-codon, and T loops). The record is from RNAcentral.
GCCCCGAUAGCUUAAUGGAUAAAGCACCGGACUUCUAAGCCGUGAGAUGUUGGUUCGACUCCAACUCGGGGCACCA